GAUGAACGCUGGCGGCGUGCCUAAUACAUGCAAGUCGAGCGAACGGACGAGAAGCUUGCUUCUCUGAUGUUAGCGGCGGACGGGUGAGUAACACGUGGAUAACCUACCUAUAAGACUGGGAUAACUUCGGGAAACCGGAGCUAAUACCGGAUAAUAUUUUGAACCGCAUGGUUCAAAAGUGAAAGACGGUCUUGCUGUCACUUAUAGAUGGAUCCGCGCUGCAUUAGCUAGUUGGUAAGGUAACGGCUUACCAAGGCAACGAUGCAUAGCCGACCUGAGAGGGGGACAGGCCAAACGGGAACGAGAACAGGGUCCAAACACCAAGGGGGGGCAGCAGUAGGGAAUUUUCCGCAAUGGGGGAAAGCCGGAAGGGGAAACGCCGGGGGGGGAAUAAAGGGUUGGGGAUCGAAAAACCUUUUUAUGGGGGAAAAAAAUAGGGGAAAUUAACUGGGAACAUCUGAAGGGUAACAAAGAAAAAAGCCACGGCUAACUAGGU
Molecule: ribosomal RNA, 496 nt
Filed under: uncultured bacterium
Lineage: Bacteria
Description: partial 16S ribosomal RNA
Rfam family: Bacterial small subunit ribosomal RNA
Source: RNAcentral